This 253-nucleotide ribosomal RNA is filed under the name uncultured bacterium. RNAcentral describes it as "partial 16S ribosomal RNA". It matches the Rfam family "Bacterial small subunit ribosomal RNA", at positions 524 to 776 of the family's 1533-position model. The record is from RNAcentral.
UACGUAGGGGGCGAGCGUUGUACGGAAUCAUUGGGCGUAAAGCGCGUGUAGGCGGCCCGGUAAGUCCGCUGUGAAAGUCCAGGGCUCAACCCUGGGAUGCCGGUGGAUACUGUCGGGCUCGAGUCCGGAAGAGGCGAGUGGAAUUCCUGGUGUAGCGGUGAAAUGCGUAGAUAUUGGGAAGAACACCGGUGGCGAAGGCGGCGACCUGGUCCUUGACUGACGCUGAGGCGCGAAAGCGUGGGGAGCAAACAGG